AACGAACGCUGGCGGCGCGUCUUAAGCAUGCAAGUCGAACGGCAAGAGGUAGCAAUACCUCCUAGAGUGGCGGACUGGUGAGUAACACGUGGGUGACAUACCCUUCAGAUGGGGAUAGCUAUUAGAAAUAGUAGAUAAUACCGAAUACGAGCACAGGGGUUAGAGAUCUGUGAGGAAAGGAGCUAAGGCUCCGCUGAAGGAAUGGCCUGCGGCCCAUUAGCUAGUUGGUGAGGUAAGAGCCCACCAAGGCGAUGAUGGGUAUCCGGCCUUAGAGGGUGAACGGACACAUUGGGACUGAGAUACGGCCCAGACUCCUACGGGAGGCAGCAGCUAAGAAUAUUCCGCAAUGGACGAAAGUCUGACGGAGCGACGCCGCCGUGGAUGAAGAAGGCCGGAAGGUUGUAAAAUCCUUUUGAAACUGAAGAAUAAGCGUUGUAGGGAAUGACAGCGUGGUGACAGUAGGUUUUGAAUAAGCAACGGCUAAUUACGUGCCAGCCGCGGC
Molecule: ribosomal RNA, 502 nt
Filed under: uncultured bacterium
Lineage: Bacteria
Description: bacterial SSU rRNA
Rfam family: Bacterial small subunit ribosomal RNA
Source: RNAcentral